Molecule: ribosomal RNA, 406 nt
Filed under: uncultured bacterium
Lineage: Bacteria
Description: partial 16S ribosomal RNA
Rfam family: Bacterial small subunit ribosomal RNA
Source: RNAcentral
AUUGAACGCUGGCGGCAGGCCUAACACAUGCAAGUCGAACGAGUGGCGGACGGGUGAGUAAUGUCUGGGCAACUGCCUGAUGGAGGGGGAUAACUACUGGAAACGGUAGCUAAUACCGCAUACCAUCAGAUGUGCCCAGAUGGGAUUAGCUAGGUGGUGGGGUAACGGCUCACCAAGGCGACGAUCCCUAGCUGGUCUGAGAGGAUGACCAGACACACUGGAACUAGGACAGGGGCCAGACUCCUACGGGGGGGAGUGGUGGGGAAUAGUGGACAAUGGGCGAAAGCCUGAUGCAGCCAUGCCGGGUGUAUGAAGAAGGCCUUCGGGUUGUAAGGUACUUUCAGCGGGGAGGCGUUACCCGCAGAAGAAGCACCGGCUAACUCCGUGCCAGCAGCCGCGGUAAUUC